GACGAACGCUGGCGGCGUGCUUAACACAUGCAAGUCGAGCGGAAAGGCCCCUUCGGGGGUACUCGAGCGGCGAACGGGUGAGUAACACGUGAGCAACCUGCCUCAGCUUCGGGAUAACCCCGGGAAACCGGGGCUAAUACCGGAUAUUCACUUCCUGGUGCAUGCCUAGAAGUGGAAAGUUUUUCGGCUGAGGAUGGGCUCGCGGCCUAUCAGCUUGUUGGUGGGGUAAUGGCCCACCAAGGCGACGACGGGUAGCCGGCCUGAGAGGGCGACCGGCCACACUGGGACUGAGACACGGCCCAGACUCCUACGGGAGGCAGCAGUGGGGAAUAUUGCACAAUGGGCGAAAGCCUGAUGCAGCGACGCCGCGUGAGGGAAGACGGCCUUCGGGUUGUAAACCUCUUUCAGCUCCGACGAAGGGAAACUGACGGUAGGAGCAGAAGAAGCGCCGGCCAACUACGUGCCAGCAGCCGCGGUAAAAC
RNAcentral lists this ribosomal RNA (482 nucleotides) under uncultured bacterium. RNAcentral's name for it is "bacterial SSU rRNA". It matches the Rfam family "Bacterial small subunit ribosomal RNA", at positions 28 to 526 of the family's 1533-position model. The record is from RNAcentral.